UCAAUUCAGAAGAAAUUCCGAUUAACCUGCUCUUUAAAUUUUAUACCUGAGUAAGUCGGUUACUCGUGAAUAGCUUCUUCCUUAAUAGCGACAUUGCAAAUCCCAAUAAUCAUUUAAAAAAAAUCUAAUAUCCUUUCUAGAACUCUCUUUACUUGCUAUCCCAUCCACAAUUCUGACUGCAUUAUUAUUCCUUCAAUUAUUGAACUCUUCAAUUUCACACUUGUAAACUUAAUGAAUACAAUUCUUGUAAAUUCCAUUGUUCAGGUGAGGGGGUGAAGGUCGUAAAGCCUCAAAAUUUGACUCUUAUAUAUAUACUUAUAUAUAUAUACACAUAACAUGACUUUUAUCGUCAAUAUAUUCAUUACAAACAUUCAUUUCAUACCUUAUAAAUCUUUACUCAUAUAGGCAACUCCCCUUUCUCUAUCAAAUACUCAAAUAUCACUUUCAUCACUGUCGGAACUAGAUCAAUUGGAGACAUUUUUGUCUAUUAGUAAAACAUUUCUCAUUUAUCAAGGUUACUCUUUUAAGUGUAUAAAUGUAUAUUUUCAUCCUUAUCUAUAAGAAUUACUAUUUUAAAUCUCCAUACAGAACUAAAUAACAUUUACUUAUUCACAACUUUAAAUUAUUUUAUUACAAAUACAUACUUCUUUAUUCACAGCUUUGUAACUUAUUUUUCCUUUAUAAUCAUUCAUCAUUGAAUCAAAGAUAAUCUUUUAUCUUGUAACAUUUUUUUUUUUAGCAGAGGCCCAGUAGACGAAACAGAACACUUAAGAAAUAUGGGACUGAUAUAACAUCUGAUGGCACCGUCCCUUCUGCGGGAAUAGGUGCAUUACUCUCUACUUCAUCUGUACUAGCUCGUUCAGGAUCCAUAACUAUAAAAGAAAACAUUUUAAAAUCGUCAGGAGUCGUCACACUAUCAAAAUAUAUAAGUAUGGCAUGUAUAGGUAGACUCUUAUUCUUACUGAGUAUUUCCGAGAACCGACUAAACCUGCUCUGAUACCAAUAAAAUAUAACACCCCUUACCCGAGACCGUUUCCGGAAUCGAGCACGAGGCAUUACUUAGCUUAUCUUACCAAUUCGGAGCAUAAAAACUAGGUUUGAAAAUUUAUUUCAUUAUUCGCAGCAAAUCUGUCUAAUCGCGCAGCAGUUACUAAAUUAAUUAUAACUUGAGCUACAGAACUCGAAAUUUAAUCCCGUAAAUUUUCCAUGAAACUAGACUCAUAUAUAUACUCGCCAUAAAAUUUUUAGAAUUUUUGGUUCAGCAAAUUAGUACAGUUUAUUAGUUAAAGUCUCCCCUGUGUCACCACCAGACUGCCCUGACCUCUAGUCACUAAAAAUAAGUUUUCUCACUAUAGGAUUUUCAUAUGAAGUUCUUACUUGUUUCUAUAGAAAAUAGACUCAUUAAGAAAUCUAAGCAUGUAAAUUUCAACUCAUAACCAUUUUUGUACAAUUUUUUAUUAUUUUCUAAACUCAGAACAGGGGACUCCAAAAACAGUUCUGACCCUAUCUUACUAAAAUUCACAUAUCUUAAAAUAUAAAUUUCUUUUUUUCUACACCGUUAUUUUUCCAUGAAAAUAGACUCAACAAGCUUUAAUUCCAUAUAUCAUUCACCCUCUAAUUCAUUUUAUACUAUCUUGGGUGAUUUUUCAAAUUCACGUCACUGUGCUGCCUGAAUUCUGUUUCUUUGCAAAAUUUUAUCCUUUCAUGAUUUCCAUGCAUAAUUUAUCACCUAAUAUUUCAUAACAACAAACACCUUCAUCCUUAAUCAUUUUAAUAACCAUACAUCAUCAAAUACUUACACAUCACUCAUUAGCAAAAUCAUCACUACAAACAUACAAAAUAACUAAAUUCCUAUACAUGUCAUAACUUAAACGUGUUUCGAUAUAAAAUACCGAGCAGUUGUAGUUGAUAGUGUGGACGAUCUCCGACUUCUUUAGGAUCCUUGAAGUAGCUUUGCAAUACUAUAAGAGAAAGAAAUAAAAGAAGUAAGCAUAAAGCUUAGUAAGUUUACUAGCAAAUAAAUAACAAUAUUUAACUUAAAUAAUUAAACUCAAUGUCUAUAUCUCUAGUUUACUCUUUAGUUAAUCUCAUACUAGUUCUCUUACUUGUUUACUUAGAAUAUUUGUGUGCAUAACUUACUCAAUCCUUGCUGCAUCGUUGAACAUCAAUUGAUAGUAUAAUAAGUUCUUAAGUCUUACAACUUACCUGAGCUUGCCAUUUAUGCUUUAAAAACAUGAUUCGUUUACAAGCCCGUUGAACUACAUUGGAAUAAUAAGGAUACUCGGGUCUCUUCUGAUAAUAACAUGCCAAAGCCAUGUCCCAGACAUGGUCUUACAUGGGAUGUUCUCGUGAUGGUGCCCAUGCCAUGUCCCAAACAUGGUCUUAUAGGGGACCUCUCAUCUCGGUGCCAACGCCAUGUCCCAGACAUGGUCUUACAUGGGACCUCUCGUCUCGGUGCCCAUGCCAUGUCCCAGACAUGGUCUUACAGGGGACCUCUCAUGAUCUUAAGGAUGCCAAUGCCAUGUCCCAGACAUGGUCUUACAUGGGAUCUCUUUACCCAAAUGUCAUGACAUUCGUAUCCAGUACCAUCCUUAUGUAUCAACGGGACUUUUAAAUUUUAAUUCUCUAUCAUUUCAUGCUUGGAUCAUCAUCAAAUAAAUUCAUAAAAUAAAUUCAUAAUUGCUGGAAAUUAACAGCAUUAAUAAUAAAUAUUGAAAUAUUGCAUUUAUUUACCGUAAACUUACCUCGGUACCAAUUAUAGCCAAAUUCACCAACUUAGUCUUCAACUUUAUUCUUCCCUUUGUCUAACCUCGAGUUUCGUACUUCUUGAUCUAAAAUAGUAAAUUUAACUUAUUUAAUAAUCACAUUCAUCAAAAUAGCCCUCGACUCUAACUUUUUCAAAAUUACAAUUUUGCCCCUAAACUUUUACAUAAUUACAUUUUUGCCCCAAGGCUCGGAAAUUAAACUUCAUCUCUUAUUCUUAUGUUUUAUAACAUUCUGAACAUUUUUCCCUUCUAUGGCAACAUCAAAUUCUAAUUUAAUCCCUUAUCAAUACUAAUUUUAUUUUUGCAUUCUAACUCUAUAUUCUCUCUUAAUUCUUACUAUAAAGUCAAUUUAAUUCCUCAAUUUCACCAUAAAUCCCUAAUUUCGGGAUUCUUUCAAUUUAAUCCCUAUCGAUUCAAAACUUAUAUUUUAUUUUACAAUUAUGUUCUUUACUAACUUCUAACUUGAAAUUAAAUCAAUUUAACCCCUAACUAAACCUAUAUAUUUUUCUUUCUCAAUUCAUACCCUUAUUCUACCCAAUUUCUUGCUAAACUCAUAUUUAACUAUUUAAUUUUUAUCAUGUUUUCAUAAUUUCGAAUUUAUUUCAAAUUAAUCCCUAAAAUUCAAAACUUAUAGUUUAGUUUACAAUUCAAUCCUUUAUUCAAUUCCAAUCAAAAUUUCUAUCAAAUACAUCCCUAAUUUAACAAUUUAUUCAACAUGAACCAUGCUUAAUAAUCUACUAACUUCCAAAAUUUCAACUUAAUCAAGUAGUAUUUUGUUCUAGGAUUUCAAAAAAAAUAUCAAAAUUAAGAGAAAAUGGGAUUAAAUUGACUUACCAAAUUACUUUGAACCUUAAAACCCCAAAUUUCCCUUUUUCUUUUCUUUUCUUUCUUUCUUUCUUUCCUUCCUUCCUUCUCUGUUUCGUUUUGCUCUCUGUUUCUUUCUUUCUCCCUUCUCUGUUUUGUUUUGCUCUCUGUUUCUUUUCUUUCUUUCUUUGUCAUAUAUAUAUAAUAAUAAUAUAAUAUAAUAUAAUAUAAUAUAUUAAUAAUAAUAUAAUAUAAAAACAUAAUUAUUACUUACGCAUGUAUAAUAUAAUAUAUAUUUUAAAUUAAAAAUAUCUUAGAUUUUUCUUUUGUUAUGCCGCCUCAACUUUAGAAAAAGGCAUAAUUGCCUAUUUGGUCCUUUAACUUUUCUUUAAUCUAUAAUUAAACUUUUAUCCUUACUUCAAUUUAGUCCUUUUUCAUAAUUAACUAUCAAAGCGUUAAAAUUUCUUAACGAAACUUUAAUAUUAUCCUGUUGACACUCCGUAAAUAUUUUUAUAAAUAUUUACGGCUCAGUUUAUAAUAUCGAGGUCUCGAUAUCUCGUUUUCGACCCAAUUUACCUAAUAAUUUCUUUUAAAUCACAAAAUUCACUGAUUUAAAAAAUAUUUCUAAAAUCACACUUAACUUAUAAUUAUUAAUUAAUAAAUUUUUCUAACUUUUUCAUCAAUUUUAGUGAUCUCAAAUCACUAUUCUGACACUACUAAAAUUUGGGCUGUUACAACUCUUCCCCCCUAAAAAAAAAAUUUCGUCCUCGAAAUUUCUCACCUGAUACAGGCUAUUAAGUCAAAUCUUUCUUCCACCCUUUCAAUCGAAGUCCAUAAAAAUUAAUCAUAACUCAUAUCACUUCCGAAAUCAUAUCAGAACUCAUUUUAGAACUUGAUACUAUGCCUGAACUUAACUGAGUAACUCUGAUGUUCUCUUGCCAUCACUUUUUCACUAGUAGUAUGACUACUAAGAAAUUUCCAGUAAUUGUCUGUCGAAACAUAACUGAGAAACUCGAAUUAUCUUAUUUAAUACCUUUGAACAAAGACCUUGGAAACCCAUCCAGCGAGAAGAAAACAGAUAAUUUAAACCCAUUGUGGAGACCCAAAAUAUAUUGAUUCCUUCACUGAUGAUUACUCAACUUUUCACUGAAUAACCCACUCUGAUUAGAACAACUGAGUCGAUUUUAUCUAUCAGAUAAUAACAUUUCAGAAUAAUCCAUUCUUCUUGUUGUCAAAACAAUCCAGAUAUACCAUAUAUCAUAAUCCUCUCGGAACACCAAUCGAAAAUUUCCACUAAUAGCAUUUAACUCAAACGAAUUUUGACAUUCCAUUAUUGACUUGUUGACAUAAUUUCAGAAUUACCUGAGAAAUGAAAACCAAAAUACAAGUUUGAGCUCAAUCUUCCUCCAUCUAUACUUUUGCCGAUGUCAACCCUUUCACGAAAACUAGAAAGGAAUUAUAUAUAUAAUAAAACUAUUUCAAUCAUUAACAUCGAAGCUUUGAACUAUACCGAAGCCACAACCAUCAAAUAGAUUAAAAACUAUAGAGCUAUACUAGGACCGACGUUCCAACUAUAUAGAUAGAACAAUACCUCAACAUCAAUAGUGCACUCCAAAAUAGAUGAAGAAAACCGAAGUAGUCCCAAUAACAACCAGUGCAGUAAUACAACUUCUAAAAUCUGAGAUCCAUAUCACCGAGUUCCCAUGAUCAAACCAAGAUUUAUAACAGUAAUAAAUAUAAUUACCUCCGGCCAAUGAAUAUCUUGUACGGAUAAACCAUGGUUAAUAGAUAAGAUUAGACCAUAAGAAUAAUAAGAAAACCGAGAUAAUAAAAUCCAAGAUGUGAAGCUAUACUAAAUUUCCGAUAAGAAAAAACCACAUUGAAUGAUAAAGAGAUCGAUGAUAUCCCAGAGAAAAUCCAAAAGAAGAAUAUCACUUGUAAAUCCAAAAGAAGAAUAUCACUUGUACGUACUAGGAAUAGUUGUGAUAAAGACUAUAUAAAUUCCAUAUAUAUAAUUCGGAGCUUCAACCAGUAGAAAUAGAAAAUAGCUUCAUAUGAGUCUUAUCAUCAAAUCUUCCAUCGAACAUAAUAGAUUAGAAAACCAAAGAAAGAUAGAGGAAUCCCGAUCAUGAAUCAACCAGACUAAUAAUAAUUUCGUCUAACAAUACGAUUAGCCAACCUUGCUAUAUGAUAAGAAUCAUAUAUGAAAAUAAAUAAUUGCAUAUACCUCUGAGGAUAAAAGAGCAUAUAGAAUACCCAUAUAGAAUACCCAGAAGAGAUCAUUGUAAAAUACUCGACUAUAACAACUGCAUUCAGAUAUGUUUGCAAUUUUCAACACAAUCCCACUGAUUACUAAAGUCAUCAAUAAUCUCACAUUAUCUCAAUCAUUAAAGAAAUCAAUUCAGAAGAAAUUCCGAUUAACCUGCUCUUUAAAUUUUAUACCUGAGUAAGUCGGUUACUCGUGAAUAGCUUCUUCCUUAAUAGCGACAUUGCAAAUCCCAAUAAUCAUUUAAAAAAAAUCUAAUAUCCUUUCUAGAACUCUCUUUACUUGCUAUCCCAUCCACAAUUCUGACUGCAUUAUUAUUCCUUCAAUUAUUGAACUCUUCAAUUUCAC
RNAcentral lists this long non-coding RNA (6183 nucleotides) under Gossypium barbadense (sea-island cotton). RNAcentral's name for it is "long non-coding RNA (GBAR_LNC013127)". The record is from RNAcentral. Lineage: Eukaryota; Viridiplantae; Streptophyta; Magnoliopsida; Malvales; Malvaceae.